Candidatus Liptonbacteria bacterium is the source of this 71-nucleotide non-coding RNA. The record is from Rfam. NCBI's taxonomy places the organism in Bacteria, Candidatus Liptoniibacteriota.
CGGGGUGUAGUAUAGUGGUAGUACGAGGGCAUGGGGUGCCUUUAGCGGGAGUUCAAUUCUCCCCACCCCGA